Molecule: long non-coding RNA, 622 nt
Organism: Peromyscus californicus insignis
Lineage: Eukaryota; Metazoa; Chordata; Mammalia; Rodentia; Cricetidae
Exons: 3
Source: RefSeq, a predicted model, not a curated record
UACACCUUGCUCCAGACUAAGCGAGACUCUGAGAGGAAGCACAGAGGCAAAGACCCGCCCCACCCCCUGCCUUCUUUGCAGCUCUGAUGAAGACAUCUAGACAGAAGCAGAAGAGGGAGAGGCGAGAGCAGAGCACAACAGAAAAACAUGUCAUAGGAAAUUGUCACAUGCUCCUGCCCUGACUCCUCAUGCACGUCUUUUAUUCCAGCACUCAGGAAGCACAGGCAAGCAGAUCUCUUGGUUCGAAGUCAGCCUGGUCUACAUAGAGAGUUCCAAUAAUGCGACCCAGAAAAGGAGCCAUCCAGUCACCCCGGGACACCUGUCCUGACAGAAUCACCCUGACAACGACAGCCCCUUCCCGGGAUCAACUGGCCUCACUGAAACUUCUGCCUGUCCAGGGGUUCUCAACCUUCCUAAUGCAGCGACAACAUGCCCAGCUUUUCCAUGGAACUCCUCCAGUCCUCUGGUCCUUGUGCCUGCACGGCAUUUUACCCACAGCCAUUUCCUCAGUGCCCCUUGGGAUCAUUUUUGUCAGAGCUGGCAGCUUUCUCAUCGGGCAGAAUUCCCAGAGAUAAUGUUCGGUUGGAACCUCCAGCUUGCUCCUGCACGAUCUGGAAAGCCC